Molecule: long non-coding RNA, 371 nt
Filed under: Nicotiana benthamiana
Lineage: Eukaryota; Viridiplantae; Streptophyta; Magnoliopsida; Solanales; Solanaceae
Description: long non-coding RNA (NBEN_LNC019853)
Source: RNAcentral
UCUCGGAAAACUAUUUCUGCGAAAUGAAGUGUCAAAUUGUAGCUUCCAUUUGCCAAGCAACGUGCAAAGUAAGUCAAAGAUAAAGGGGAGAGGUGAGCUGUCGUGUAAAGUUGAGCUUCGUCUCCUGUUAUAGGUGUAGCUUCCAUUUGCUAAGCAACGUGCAAAGUAAGUCAAAGAUAAAGGGGAGAGGUGAGCUGUCAUGUAAAGUUGAGAUUCGUCUCCCAUGAUAGCAGAUAUAUUAUGUGUUUUGUAGUCAUUCAAUGAUAUGACACGAUCCCAGAAGUGUCCUGUACUGCUAGAUCCCCAGUUCCCUUUCCAGUAAACAAAUUUUGCAGCACCUGCCGGGUCUUCAUCUGCUUCAAAAGUAGUGU